Molecule: ribosomal RNA, 404 nt
Filed under: uncultured bacterium
Lineage: Bacteria
Description: bacterial SSU rRNA
Rfam family: Bacterial small subunit ribosomal RNA
Source: RNAcentral
GGGGAAUAUUGCACAAUGGCGCAAGCCUGAUGCAGCGAUGCCGCGUGAGGGAUGACGGCCUUCGGGUUGUAAACCUCUUUCAGCAGGGAAGAAGCGCAAGUGACGGUACCUGCAGAAGAAGCACCGGCUAACUACGUGCCAGCAGCCGCGGUAAUACGUAGGGUGCGAGCGUUGUCCGGAAUUAUUGGGCGUAAAGAGCUCGUAGGCGGCCUGUCGCGUCGGAUGUGAAAGCCCGGGGCUUAACCCCGGGUCUGCAUUCGAUACGGGCAGGCUAGAGUUCGGCAGGGGAGAUUGGAAUUCCUGGUGUAGCGGUGAAAUGCGCAGAUAUCAGGAGGAACACCGGUGGCGAAGGCGGAUCUCUGGGCCGAUACUGACGCUGAGGAGCGAAAGCGUGGGGAGCGAAC